Molecule: ribosomal RNA, 445 nt
Filed under: uncultured bacterium
Lineage: Bacteria
Description: bacterial SSU rRNA
Rfam family: Bacterial small subunit ribosomal RNA
Source: RNAcentral
UCCAGACUCCUACGGGAGGCAGCAGUGGGGAAUAUUGCACAAUGGGGGAAACCCUGAUGCAGCGACGCCGCGUGAGUGAAGAAGUAUUUCGGUAUGUAAAGCUCUAUCAGCAGGGAAGAAAAUGACGGUACCUGACUAAGAAGCCCCGGCUAACUACGUGCCAGCAGCCGCGGUAAUACGUAGGGGGCAAGCGUUAUCCGGAUUUACUGGGUGUAAAGGGAGCGUAGACGGUGAUGCAAGUCAGAAGUGAAAGCCCGGGGCUCAACUCCGGGACUGCUUUUGAAACUGUGUAACUGGAGUGCAGGAGAGGUAAGCGGAAUUCCUGGUGUAGCGGUGAAAUGCGUAGAUAUCAGGAGGAACACCGGCGGCGAAGGCGGCCUGCUGGACCGUAACUGACGUUGAGGCUCGAAAGCGUGGGGAGCAAACAGGAUUAGAUACCCCAGUA